GUUAUUUUUCCCAACUAGUUGCCACCCCACCGGUGUCCACCGAUACGUGUGAGCUUUUGGUUGCAUCGAUUUUGUACAGCAAGCUGCAGAUAUCCUGAGCAACUUGCAAGUGAAGGAGAAGAUUUGUGCACGUGACUACAAACCGACUGCCCUGAAACGCAGUCGGUUUUUAUUGUAUCCUGGAAGACCCGACUGACCGGCGGACCAGUGCAGAUCGUUGUUGCUGUCUGUUCCUGCCUCGCGUGAAUAGGUCGUCGCGGAAAACCAGAUAAGUGGCAUGCAUGCAUGAAAAACAGUGAAAAGCCAGUAAUCGUGCACGAACUUUUAACUUUCUGGCAAAUGGUUUGCGCGUAGUUAGAAUAUCACCUAGAU
Long non-coding RNA from Aedes albopictus (Asian tiger mosquito), 372 nucleotides. RefSeq lists it as uncharacterized. The record is from RefSeq and is a predicted model, not a curated record. The transcript is spliced from 2 exons. NCBI's taxonomy places the organism in Eukaryota, Metazoa, Arthropoda, Insecta, Diptera, Culicidae.